Long non-coding RNA from Limulus polyphemus (Atlantic horseshoe crab), 1128 nucleotides. RefSeq lists it as uncharacterized. Lineage: Eukaryota; Metazoa; Arthropoda; Merostomata; Xiphosura; Limulidae. The record is from RefSeq and is a predicted model, not a curated record. The transcript is spliced from 3 exons.
GAUGAGACCUGGGAAAUGAAACUAAUUAUAACGAUUGUUUUAAAACAACGGUACACGCGUUGAUGUCGACGAACGUGUUCUACCAAUUUGGCUUAAGGUGUAACUCUUGGUGGUGGCACAGACUUCUACGGGAGGUGCGUGUGUCAUACAGGACAGACGUAAACGAGCUCACAGGACCUAAUUCUACCGUUCCUCGAUUUUCAUAACUCCACGUUCAUUCAACGAAAGAAGAUCCAUCCAACACCACCAUAAGGGCCUUGUUCCAACUAUGGCCGCAGUCCUUGCGUUUGUCUACAUAGCCACGGCAAAAGUUCCCAAAUCGCCAAAGAACACCACGAAAAACCGGCCGCUGCAGGAUCUGGAGGAGAUGGUGGGGGGAUUAAAACAAACAAGUUUUUGGUAUCGUUUGUAAUCGUGCUGUAGACAGGAUCUGGAAGAGAUGGGGGGAAUGAAAACAGACAGAUUUUUGGUAUCGUUUGUAAUCGUGCUGUAGAUGCAUACGUCUCAACCUUGAGCGACUUGGGUGUCGGGUAAGCGGAAGUUUUCAAGACGACGGGCCUAGAGAUGGCAGUAGUGGAAACUUUAAAGAUGUCAACGGCAGAGGCCAAACGGGAAGACUUGGUAGUCCUCACGGUGAAAGUUUGAAAGCCAGAAAAUCAAGCCGGGCUAACUUUGAUGGCUUCAGCAACAAUGAUUUACAGAGUGGCAGGGGUGCUGUCAUUGGUGGAGGGUUCGAUAAAAGCAGUUUUCUCGCUAGUAAUUAUGAUGGAAGGUUUGGAAAUUCCGCUUUUAAAGACUACUAUACAGUUCCUGCUGUGGCAGUGGUUACUAACGAGGACAGUGAAAAUUUCUUUUACCAAUGAGACAUAAUGUUUGUGACUGAAAGUGGUGUUCUCAAAAAACAACAGGCAAUUAUUUCAAUAAACAUAUUGAAAGUGUUGACCAAUAAGGACAUUAAAGGUUACUGUAAUAACUGUACGCAUAAUGUAGAAACAGAGUAUAAUAAUUUUCGUUUACAAAUUCAGGAACUAUAUAUAUGCUGACGUAGUGGAAUAUGGGAUAGUUGUAUUAUACUGUAGCAAGGUGUUAAGUAUGCAAAACGAUAUGUGUUAAAAUACUGAAAUAUGG